Molecule: ribosomal RNA, 870 nt
Filed under: uncultured Anaerofilum sp.
Lineage: Bacteria; Bacillati; Bacillota; Clostridia; Eubacteriales; Oscillospiraceae
Description: bacterial SSU rRNA
Rfam family: Bacterial small subunit ribosomal RNA
Source: RNAcentral
UGUAGCGGUGGAAAUGCGUAGAUAUCGGGAGGAACACCAGUGGCGAAGGCGGCCUACUGGGCAUCAACUGACGCUGAGGCUCGAAAGCAUGGGUAGCAAACAGGAUUAGAUACCCUGGUAGUCCAUGCUGUAAACGAUGAUUACUAGGUGUGGGAAGAUUGACCCUUUCCGUGCCGCAGUUAACACAAUAAGUAAUCCACCUGGGGAGUACGACCGCAAGGUUGAAACUCAAAGGAAUUGACGGGGGCCCGCACAAGCAGUGGAGUAUGUGGUUUAAUUCGAAGCAACGCGAAGAACCUUACCAGGUCUUGACAUCCAACGACCGCCUAAGAGAUUAGGCUUUCCUUCGGGACGUUGAGACAGGUGGUGCAUGGUUGUCGUCAGCUCGUGUCGUGAGAUGUUGGGUUAAGUCCCGCAACGAGCGCAACCCUUAUUACUAGUUACUACGCAAGAGGACUCUAGUGAGACUGCCGUUGACAAAACGGAGGAAGGUGGGGAUGACGUCAAAUCAUCAUGCCCUUUAUGACCUGGGCUACACACGUACUACAAUGGCUAUUAACAGAGAGAAGCGAGACCGCAAGGUGGAGCAAACCUCAGAAAAAUAGUCUCAGUCCGGAUUGGGGGCUGCAACCCGCCCCCAUGAAGCCGGAAUUGCUAGUAAUCGCGGAUCAGCAUGCCGCGGUGAAUACGUUCCCGGGCCUUGUACACACCGCCCGUCACACCAUGAGAGCCGGGGGGACCCGAAGUCGGUAGUCUAACCGCAAGGAGGACGCCGCCGAAGGUAAAACUGGUGAUUGGGGUGAAGUCGUAACAAGGUAACCGUAAAGGGCGAAUUCGGAGCCUGCUUUUGUACAAAGUGCGGCGAUCGUA